RNAcentral lists this ribosomal RNA (212 nucleotides) under uncultured Staphylococcus sp. Its description in RNAcentral is "partial 16S ribosomal RNA". It matches the Rfam family "Bacterial small subunit ribosomal RNA", at positions 128 to 334 of the family's 1533-position model. Lineage: Bacteria; Bacillati; Bacillota; Bacilli; Caryophanales; Staphylococcaceae. The record is from RNAcentral.
ACCUAUAAGACUGGGAUAACUUCGGGAAACCGGAGCUAAUACCGGAUAAUAUUUUGAACCGCAUGGUUCAAAAGUGAAAGACGGUCUUGCUGUCACUUAUAGAUGGAUCCGCGCUGCAUUAGCUAGUUGGUAAGGUAACGGCUUACCAAGGCAACGAUGCAUAGCCGCCCUGAGAGGGUGAUCGGCCACACUGGAACUGAGACACGGUCCAG